AUAUCAAUAAGCGGAGGAAAAGAAACUAACAAGGAUUCCCCUAGUAACUGCGAGUGAAGCGGGAAAAGCUCAAAUUUAAAAUCUGGCGGUCUCCGGCCGUCCGAGUUGUAAUUUAGAGAAGCGUUAUCCGUGCUGGACCGUGUAUAAGUCUCCUGGAAUGGAGCGUCAUAGAGGGUGAGAAUCCCGUCUUUGACACGGACUACCAGUGCAUUGUGAUGCGCUCUCGACGAGUCGAGUUGUUUGGGAAUGCAGCUCAAAAUGGGUGGUAAAUGCCAUCUAAAGCUAAAUAUUGGCGAGAGACCGAUAGCGAACAAGUACCGUGAGGGAAAGAUGAAAAGAACUUUGGAAAGAGAGUUAAACAGUACGUGAAAUUGUCGAAAGGGAAACGGUUGCAGUCAGUCGCGUCCGCCGGGGAUCAACCUUGCUUUUGCUUGGCGUAUUUCCCGGUGGAUGGGUCAGCAUCAGUUUUGACCGCAGUUGAAAGGCUGGAGGAAUGUGGCACCUUCGGGUGUGUUAUAGCCUCCUGUCAUAUGCUGCGGUUGGGACUGAGGAACUCAGCACGCCGCAAGGCCGGGAUUCGUCCACGUUCGUGCUUAGGAUGC
Molecule: ribosomal RNA, 602 nt
Filed under: Schizophyllum commune
Lineage: Eukaryota; Fungi; Basidiomycota; Agaricomycetes; Agaricales; Schizophyllaceae
Description: eukaryotic LSU rRNA
Rfam family: Eukaryotic large subunit ribosomal RNA
Source: RNAcentral